This 440-nucleotide ribosomal RNA is filed under the name uncultured bacterium. RNAcentral describes it as "partial 16S ribosomal RNA". It matches the Rfam family "Bacterial small subunit ribosomal RNA", at positions 338 to 795 of the family's 1533-position model. The record is from RNAcentral.
CCUACGGGAGACAGCAGUGGGGAAUAUUGCACAAUGGGGGGAACCCUGAUGCAGCGACGCCGCGUGAGUGAAGAAGUAUUUCAGUAUGUAAAGCUCUAUCAGCAGGGAAGAAAAUGACGGUACCUGACUACGAAGCCCCGGCUAACUACGUGCCAGCAGCCGCGGUAAUACGUAGGGGGCAAGCGUUAUCCGGAUUUACUGGGUGUAAAGGGAGCGCAGACGGCUGUGCAAGUCUGGAGUGAAAGGCGGGGGCCCAACCCCCGGACUGCUCUUGAAACUGUAAAGCUGGAGUGCAGGAGAGGUAAGCGGAAUUCCUAGUGUAGCGGUGAAAUGCGUAGAUAUUAGGAGGAACACCAGUGGCGAAGGCGGCUUACUGGACUGCAACUGACGUUGAGGCUCGAAAGCGUGGGGAGCAAACAGGAUUAGAUACCCGGGUAGUC